GCCGGUCCGGGCCGCCUACACAUGCAAGUCGAACGAAGUAGCAAUACUUAGUGGCAGACGGGUGAGUAACAUGUAGGUAUCUACCCUUUGGCCUGGAAUAACACGAGGAAACUUGUGCUAAUACUGGAUAAGUCUUUACGGAGAAAGCUUUAUGCACCAUUGGAUGAGCCUGCACUUGAUUAGUUUGUUGGUGGGGUAAUGGCCUACCAAGACUGUGAUCAAUAGCUGAUUUGAGAGGAUGAUCAGCCACAUUGGGACUGAGACACGGCCCAAACUCCUACGGGAGGCAGCAGUGGGGAAUCUUGCACAAUGGAGGAAACUCUGAUGCAGCGAUGCCGCGUGAGUGAAGAAGGCCCUUGGGUUGUAAAGCUCUUUCGUCGGGGAAGAAAAUGACUGUACCCGAAUAAGAAGGUCCGGCUAACUUCGUGCCAGCAGCCGCGGUAAUACGAAGGGACCUAGCGUAGUUCGGAAUUACUGGGCUUAAAGAGUUCGUAGGUGGUUGAAAAAGUUGGUGGUGAAAUCCCAGAGCUUAACUCUGGAACUGCCAUCAAAACUUUUCAGCUAGAGUAUGAUAGAGGAAAGCAGAAUUUCUAGUGUAGAGGUGAAAUUCGUAGAUAUUAGAAAGAAUACCAAUUGCGAAGGCAGCUUUCUGGAUCAUUACUGACACUGAGGAACGAAAGCAUGGGUAGCGAAGAGAAUUAGAUACCCUCGUAGUCCAUGCCGUAAACGAUGUGUGUUAGACGUUGGAAAUUU
RNAcentral lists this ribosomal RNA (753 nucleotides) under uncultured bacterium. RNAcentral describes it as "bacterial SSU rRNA". It matches the Rfam family "Bacterial small subunit ribosomal RNA", at positions 35 to 832 of the family's 1533-position model. The record is from RNAcentral.